This 374-nucleotide ribosomal RNA is filed under the name uncultured organism. RNAcentral describes it as "partial 16S ribosomal RNA". It matches the Rfam family "Bacterial small subunit ribosomal RNA", at positions 527 to 896 of the family's 1533-position model. The record is from RNAcentral.
GUAGGUGGCAAGCGUUGUCCGGAAUUAUUGGGCGUAAAGCGCGCGCAGGCGGGUUCUUUAAGUCUGAUGUGAAAGCCCACGGGCUCAACCGUGGAGGGUCAUUGGAAACUGGAGAACUUGAGUACAGAAGAGGAAAGCGGAAUUCCACGUGUAGCGGUGAAAUGCGUAGAGAUGUGGGGGAACACCAGUGGCGAAGGCGGCUUUCUGGUCUGUAACUGACGCUGAGGCGCGAAAGCGUGGGGAGCAAACAGGAUUAGAUACCCUGGUAGUCCACGCCGUAAACGAUGAGUGCUAAGUGUUAGGGGGUUUCCGCCCCUUAGUGCUGCAGCUAACGCAUUAAGCACUCCGCCUGGGGAGUACGGCCGCAAAGGCUG